GGCAAACGGGUGAGUAACACGUGGGUGACCUGCCUUUCGAGCGGGGGAUAACGUCCCGAAAGGGACGCUAAUACCGCAUAACAUCCUGCCUUUGAAGAGGUGGAGAUCAAAGCUGGGGAUCGCAAGACCCGGCACUUGAAGAGGGGCCCGCGUCUGAUUAGCUAGUUGGUGGGGUAAUGGCCUACCAAGGCAACGAUCAGUAUCCGGCCUGAGAGGGCGGACGGACACACUGGGACUGAGACACGGCCCAGACUCCUACGGGAGGCAGCAGUGGGGAAUUGUUCGCAAUGGGCGCAAGCCUGACGACGCAACGCCGCGUGGAGGAUGAAGAUUUUCGGAUCGUAAACUCCUGUCGAAUGGGACGAACAGAUUGCGGGUUAACAGCCCGUAGUCCUGACGGUACCGUUAAAGGAAACCCCGGCUAACUCCGUGCCAGCAGCCGCGGUAAUACGGGGGGGGUAAGCGUUGUUCGGAAUUACCGGGCGUAAAGGGCUCGUAGGCGGCCAACUAAGUCAUACGUGAAAUCCCUCAGCUUAACUGGGGAACUGCGUGUGAUACUGGAUGGCUUGGAUUUGGGAGAGGGAUGCGGAAUUCCAGGUGUAGCGGUGAAAUGCGUAGAUAUCUGGAGGAACACCGGUGGCGAAGGCGGCAUCCUGGACCAAUAUUGACGCUGAGGAGCGAAAGCCAGGGGAGCAAACGGGAUUAGAUACCCCGGUAGUCC
This 721-nucleotide ribosomal RNA is filed under the name uncultured bacterium. RNAcentral describes it as "bacterial SSU rRNA". It matches the Rfam family "Bacterial small subunit ribosomal RNA", at positions 97 to 796 of the family's 1533-position model. The record is from RNAcentral.